This 432-nucleotide ribosomal RNA is filed under the name Triticum aestivum (bread wheat). Its description in RNAcentral is "partial small subunit ribosomal RNA". The record is from RNAcentral. Lineage: Eukaryota; Viridiplantae; Streptophyta; Magnoliopsida; Poales; Poaceae.
AUGAACCAUGUAACCUUCAGUAUUAACGGUACAUGCCUCAAUGAACCAUGUAACAUUUCAACCUUUCAAAAAAAAACAUGUAAUAUUUCAACGAACCACGUAACCUUCUUUCUUAAUGAUACAUUCAACCCCUAUCGUCUUCAUCUCGCGCUGAUAGCAGCAACGGCAGUGGAGCAGACAAUGGGUUCGUGCCUGCCGUCGGUGUGUAGUGAUGGGGCGGUGGCGGUUGGCGUGGUUCGUCAGGGUGCGUGUGACACCGCGUGUGACGCCGCCCUGGCUAGGUGGCAGUGGACUAGGACAGCCAGCCAGUCGUGCACCACCAGACUCCCUGCAUUCCAGUCUCGGUCGCUUAUCCAGCUAUGCUGCUGCCGCUUUUUUUGUCCAUGCCCACAUGCAACAUUCCCACAUACAGGUAUCCAAAGGUUCGAAUAG